UCGGGAAUAUUGGUCAAUGGAGGCAACUCUGAACCAGCCAUGCCGCGUGCAGGAAGAAGGCCCUAUGGGUCGUAAACUGCUUUUGAACAAGAGAAAACCCCGGUACGUGUACUGGGUUGAUAGUAUUGUUAGAAUAAGCAUCGGCUAACUUCGUGCCAGCAGCCGCGGUAAGACGAAGGAUGCAAGCGUUAUCCGGAUUCAUUGGGUUUAAAGGGUGCGUAGGCGGACUGAUAAGUCAGUGGUGAAAUCUCUCGGCUUAACCGAGAAACUGCCAUUGAUACUGUUAGUCUAGAGUACAGAUGAUGUGGGCGGAAUAUGACAUGUAGUGGUGAAAUACUUAGAUAUGUCAUAGAACACCGAUUGCGAAGGCAGCUCACAAAACUGUAACUGACGCUGAGGCACGAAAGUGCGGGGAUCAAACAGGAUUAGAUACCCAGUAGUCCCUGAGCGGGCUGGCAAGGCGCAU
This 466-nucleotide ribosomal RNA is filed under the name uncultured bacterium. RNAcentral describes it as "bacterial SSU rRNA". It matches the Rfam family "Bacterial small subunit ribosomal RNA", at positions 355 to 825 of the family's 1533-position model. The record is from RNAcentral.